Molecule: ribosomal RNA, 317 nt
Filed under: uncultured eukaryote
Lineage: Eukaryota
Description: partial 18S ribosomal RNA
Rfam family: Eukaryotic small subunit ribosomal RNA
Source: RNAcentral
CCCUUAGACGUUCUGGGCCGCACGCGCGCUACACUGACCAGUGCAACAAGCAUCCGUCCUUGGCCGACAGGCCCGGGCAAUCUUUGAACGCUGGUCGUGAUGGGGAUAGACUUUUGCAAUUUUUGGUCUUCAACGAGGAAUUCCUAGUAAACGCAAGUCAUCAACUUGCAUUGAUUACGUCCCUGCCCUUUGUACACACCGCCCGUCGCACCUACCGAUUGAAUGGUCCGGUGAAAUCCUCGGAUCGAGCCGUGGGGCAACUCCGGUUCGAGAAGUUGAUUAAACCUUACCAUUUAGAGGAAGGUGAAGUCGUAACA